AAUAAUCUUCAGGGCAGGGUGAAAUUCCCUACCGGCGGUAAAGCCCGCGAGCCGUAAAUGGCAUGAUUCGGUGAAACUCCGAAGCCGACAGUAAAGUCUGGAUGAAAGAAGAUAAUG
Molecule: regulatory RNA element, 117 nt
Organism: Clostridium sp.
Lineage: Bacteria; Bacillati; Bacillota; Clostridia; Eubacteriales; Clostridiaceae
Rfam family: FMN riboswitch aptamer (RFN element)
About the family: The RFN element is a highly conserved domain that is found frequently in the 5'-untranslated regions of prokaryotic mRNAs that encode for flavin mononucleotide (FMN) biosynthesis and transport proteins. This element is a metabolite-dependent riboswitch that directly binds FMN in the absence of proteins.
Source: Rfam